CUCUCGGAAUCAACAACGCAUGAGAAAACUUUGCGUUUUGUUUAGUUUGUUUGUCAAUUAGGGUGUGCAGGGUGAACGCGGGGUCUAUCGUACUGUCAUUUGGUGAAAAGCUUUGCUCAGUACAUUGUUUUCACUGAGGAAAUGUGCAGGUCUGCCUUUAAUGAUAACGCAGAGGAUUUUCCCAAGGCUGCUGUUGACACAUAUCCCACGGUGCUGGAGUGAUAGGUGAAAUCAUCUGGAGGAAGAGGAGGAGGCAGAAAGGGGGACACUAGCAUUCUGAGGGGCCUCCAUGUUGGGCUCCCGCACGUCCACUAGCACGUAAUACUGGAUGUCCUUCAGCUCCAGGCAGUCUUUGGCAGACUGGUCCCUUGGUCUGGAGAGGACAGAGGGAGGACAUCCAGGCUUCAGGCACCACACCAGAAGGCCCAAAUGACCUCCUCUCGUUCUUCACAACGUGGACAGCUGAGGGCAGCAAGCCAGGGCGAAGCGGGAUGUUUUCUGUGUUUUCAAAAUAAGACAGACUAAAACUAUUAUAUAUAUAUAUAUAUAAAACAUAUAUAUUUUUUAUAUUGACUUCCAUUUCUUCAGACAAACUUUACUUUUUUAAGUAAAAAAGCCUUACCUAUCUCGCCCAGCAUUUUCUGGAUCCUAGUCAAAUGCUGGGAAUAUUUCUUAAGAGACAUUGUAAUACUUACACAUGUUUACUCUAUGAUUUCAGUUUGUGUUAUGAAGUUUUUUGGUGAAAAGUGCAUUUGAGCGUUCUGUUACCCGGCAUAUACACUGUCAAAAUUCUAGAAUAUCACAGGACUUUAUUUAUGAUGUUAUCGCCAUUUUCAGCAGAAAUACGAUGGUUGUAUCAGUGUUCCUAGAUGUAACAAUUAAUGACGAUUAUGAUGCUUUAGCCUACAGCAGGUAUCAGGUAGCCUAGCGGAUAGAAGCAUUGGGCCAGUAACCGAAAGGUUGAUGGGUUCAAAUCCCUGCAACGGCUAAUUGAAAAAUCUGUUGACGUGCCCUUGAUCAAGGCACUUAACUCUAAUUGCUCCAGAUAAUGGUGGAUCUCUGACCCCACUCUUCGAGGGUGUCUCAGGAGGAGUAGGGAUAUGCAAAAAAAACAUCUCCAAUUCGCACUUGUACAUGUGUGAAAUAGAACUAUUGUCAGGCUUAGGCCUAUAAUGUAAUGCAGUUAAGUUGUUUGUGCUUUCAAAUAAUAUUACACAAUGGACAUUCAUGCUAAUGCGGUGUAGCCAAUAGGACAGGGUUGCUCUGCUCUGUAAAAAGUGUGUGUAGUUUGGUUUGUGUUGACUCUCUUACCCUCAAUAAGGAGAGUGAGCUAAUACUCUUUGGAGGGGACAUGGGAAGGGAACACCACUCUCUAGCCACACGCACUCACACAUAUUUGGUAACAUUCUAUGACAAGAUUUAUAGUGUGUUAUGACACUAACUAUAAGCGUCCAUAAUUCUCCAUUCUCAUAAGUGGUUACAUUAGGGCUCCCGAGUGGCGCAGCAGUCUAAGGCACUGCAUCACAGUGCUAGAGGCGUCACUACAGACCCUGGUUUGAUUCCAGGCUGUAUCACAACCGGCCGUGAUUGGGAGUCCCAUAGGGCGGUGCACAACUAGCCAAGCGUUGGGGUAGGCCGUCAUUGUAAAUAAGAAUUUGUUCUUAACCGACUUGCCUGGUUAAAUAAAUAAAAUAAAAACAUAA
Long non-coding RNA from Oncorhynchus nerka (sockeye salmon), 1703 nucleotides. RefSeq lists it as uncharacterized. The transcript is spliced from 2 exons. The record is from RefSeq and is a predicted model, not a curated record. Lineage: Eukaryota; Metazoa; Chordata; Actinopteri; Salmoniformes; Salmonidae.